This 236-nucleotide long non-coding RNA is filed under the name Lathyrus oleraceus (garden pea). RNAcentral describes it as "Pisum sativum (pea) long non-coding RNA (PSAT_LNC011642)". The record is from RNAcentral. Lineage: Eukaryota; Viridiplantae; Streptophyta; Magnoliopsida; Fabales; Fabaceae.
GCUUGUAUUUGGCUUGCUGAAGCUAUUGAUGUGCAUGUUGUUAACUUCUGGGCACAUUUGUUCAUGUUGAUUUUGAGAAAGAUGAUGAUGCUUGCUGCUGUUUAAACCUGACACUCUGUCCAGAAAACUCCCAUGGUUAUGUUGUUUUGCUGUUAGCUAGGGUUGCUUAAUGAUAAAUGUUCAUGGCCAUGUUCUAUUGUUGAUGCUGUUGUUCAUGUUUUGAUGAUUGAUGUUUG